UUCAUUUCUACACUCAAGGUGUCAUGAGUUACAAAACUAAUCUACCUUACUAUAGCUAAAAUAAAACUCAAUAUAGUUCAACAAUCCACAGUUAAUUACAAUACGAAGAUCUAACUAAAAGUAAUUGAACUAAGAAAAAUAAAAGCACACCAAUAUGGCCUUUAUUUCAUUCCAAAUUGAGAGCAACAUCAUGGAGGAGCUAGGAUUAAUACCUGGAUGAAGAAGAAACAAAGUAAAGAAAUAGGAGGUUAGCUUUGGCAGCAGUAGUAUGAAGAAUCAGCAGCUAAAAGAGCAGUAGUCCAUAGCUUUAAAUCAGUUAUGAACCAGAAAACCAAAAUAGACUUGGUUUAAAUUUGUUUCAACUCUCAGCUACCCAGAUGUUGUUUUAACUUCAGAAAUCAACAGUAAGGAUCAAUGGAAUAGUAUUUUAUUGAAGAAAAUCUCUUAAGUUCCUGAAAAUCUCUCUCUAGUCUAGGCUCUCAAAUUUCACGUUCUCAGAAACUCUAAAAAUCUGCAGACUCUCUAAACGUUUUUUUAGG
RNAcentral lists this long non-coding RNA (539 nucleotides) under Nicotiana benthamiana. RNAcentral's name for it is "long non-coding RNA (NBEN_LNC003475)". The record is from RNAcentral. Lineage: Eukaryota; Viridiplantae; Streptophyta; Magnoliopsida; Solanales; Solanaceae.